RNAcentral lists this ribosomal RNA (615 nucleotides) under Arthroderma multifidum. Its description in RNAcentral is "LSU rRNA". It matches the Rfam family "Eukaryotic large subunit ribosomal RNA", at positions 38 to 667 of the family's 3401-position model. The record is from RNAcentral. Lineage: Eukaryota; Fungi; Ascomycota; Eurotiomycetes; Onygenales; Arthrodermataceae.
GCAUAUCAAUAAGCGGAGGAAAAGAAACCAACAGGGAUUGCCUCAGUAACGGCGAGUGAAGCGGCAAAAGCUCAAAUUUGAAAUCUGGCACCUCUGGGUGUCCGAGUUGUAAUUUGGAGAGGAUACUUCGGGCAUGGUUGCAGCAUAAGUCCCUUGGAACAGGGUGUCAUAGAGGGUGAGAAUCCCGUCUUAAGUUGUUAACCAUGUCCAUGCGAAGUUCCUUCGACGAGUCGAGUUGUUUGGGAAUGCAGCUCUAAGUGGGUGGUAAAUUUCAUCUAAAGCUAAAUAUUGGCCAGAGACCGAUAGCGAACAAGUAGAGUGAUCGAAAGGUUAAAAGCACCUUGAAAAGGGAGUUAAAUAGCACGUGAAAUUGUUGAAAGGGAAGCGCUUGCAACCAGACUCGGUCACAGGGGCUCAGCAGGCAUGCGUGCCUGUGUACUCCCCUGUGUUCGGGCCAGCAUCAGUUCUGGCGGUUGGUUAAAGGCCCUUGGAAUGUAUCGUCCUCCGGGACGCCUUAUAGCCAAGGGUGUAAUGCGGCCAGCCGGGACUGAGGAACGCGCUUCGGCACGGAUGCUGGCAUAAUGGUUGUAAGCGGCCCGUCUUGAAACACGGACC